AGAACGAACGCUGGCGGCAGGCCUAAUACAUGCAAGUCGAACGCACUCUUCGGAGUGAGUGGCAGACGGGUGAGUAGCGCGUGGGAACCUUCCCAAUGGUACGGAAUAACUCCGGGAAACCGGUGCUAAUACCGUAUAAGCCCCUCGGGGGAAAGAUUUAUCGCCAUUGGAUGGGCCCGCGUCGGAUUAGCUAGUUGGUAAGGUAAUGGCUUACCAAGGCUACGAUCCGUAGCUGGUCUGAGAGGAUGAUCAGCCACACUGGGACUGAGACACGGCCCAGACUCCUACGGGAGGCAGCAGUAGGGAAUCUUGGACAAUGGGCGAAAGCCUGAUCCAGCCAUGCCGCGUGAGUGAAGAAGGCCUUAGGGUUGUAAAGCUCGUUUUGGCGGGGACGAUAAUGACGGUACCGCAGAAUAAGCCCCGGCUAACUUCGUGCCAGCAGCCGC
RNAcentral lists this ribosomal RNA (446 nucleotides) under uncultured bacterium. RNAcentral describes it as "SSU rRNA". It matches the Rfam family "Bacterial small subunit ribosomal RNA", at positions 26 to 518 of the family's 1533-position model. The record is from RNAcentral.